GCAUAACGUCCUCAAUAUCCAUCCAGGUUGUAGAAUGUUUCAGAAUUUCCUUCCUUUUUAUUGCUAAAAAAAUAUCCCAUUGUAUGUGUCUACCACAUCUUGUUUCUCCAUUCAUCCGUUGAUAGAUACUUGGGUUGCUUCCACUUUUUGACUUUUUGGCUUAUUUUUGCGAUAAGGAAUAUUUUUGUGAUUGGAGGACAACAUAUAUUUGAAAGGAAAGUAAACGGAACAGGGAUUAUAGGCCACUUCAUGGUCUUCGUGUCUUUAUUCUAGGCAGCUGCACAGUCUUGGGAGAAAGUCUUUCCUAGCACCUCGUUAGACUUUGUGACCCUCUGGGCAUUGUGUUACCCUCCUUAUGUUGUCUCCCACUCUUCUGCGCUAUCUAACUAAAUAUGAAUCACCAGGCUAAUUUGGGACAAUUCAGCUGAGAACAGAGCAAAGAGUUACAUGGACGCAUCAAACACAGACACUUUUCAGAGGUACCGUUUCUCUCUAGUUGAGGUUUUAUGUAACACUACAUGUUUCUCAAGUGUUGUGUGAUCAGUUUGAUCAGGCAAGCAUCUUAAAAGUCCUCUGAGGACUAGCAUUUUAAUCAGUCAAUGCCCUGCAUAGGUCAAUGAAAUCUCUGAUCCAACAGGAGAUAAGGGGAGAGGGUUAUUCCUGGCCUGGGGGCAGAGAGAGAAGAGGCGUGGGAGGGUCGUCUCAGCUCUUUUUAGGGAAAUUGAUGGCCUCAAAGCAAAAUUUUCUCCAGGACGAGAAAAAGGGAAAAAGCAGCAUUUAGGCCCAUGACUAGGCAUUCCUAAUCUACUUCUUGGCUAUGUCUAAAGUUCAGUAAAGAAUACUUUGCCACUUUAAAACACUUCUAGUGAGCAUCUUUCGUCAUUGCCAGGGGAAGCAAAUAAAAAUCAGGUGCAUCAGGAGCCUGGCAGCCAGUGCCCAGGCAUUGUGGUCAGCCAACCGAGAAGACUCGCUCCAAGUUUCCAGGAGGGGUUCAACCCAGCAGGAUUUGGAAGAUCUCCGGUUCAUUCAGCUGCACUUCUUGUCAUGGGAUAUGGCAGCGCGUCUCAAACUUGCCUGGGAACCGGACGCAGAGAAGCCAGGAGCCGGAGCCCAGAUUUGGGCACAACUUCUCCCUAGGGGUCUGCUUGUUCAGACGAGGCGUCGAGGCAACUGUCUGCACAGUCGUCAUCGUAACUAGAAAGUAGCGGGGGUACUGGAACAGCUUCGUUGCUUUAGAAUAGGCCGUCUCGCCGUUCAUCAUAUUUGAGACUUCUGUGAAACUACAUCGUGUGGAAGUUGGUGGCCUUUUGAGAAAAAUAGCUUUAAAACAAAAACCAAAUCACCCCACUGGAAGCCGGCCCCGGGACCUUGGACUACUCAUUCAGUGUCGCUGGUGUCGGAGCCUCGAAGGUGGAGCACACACUCCAGGAGUCCUUGCAAAGAUGCCACCAGGGAGCUGGAGGAAACGUUAGAACCUUUAUUUACGUGUUUUCCCUCUAAAAUGUAAGGAAAACUAUUAAGCUAUACUAACAUUUGAUAUAUGAAUCAAGAGGGUGAAGUAUAUAAUUUAUAAACAUGUACAUUUUGGGAGUGCAUGCUCAAAAAUGUUUGCUCCUCAUGGCACAUGACCAGAAAAGUGGAGAUUACUGAUCUACCCCCCAGAGAGGAGACUAGAUUUAGUGUUUUUUUCAAACUGGUGAUGGCAACCUAUUCUUGGUUUGUGCAAUCUAUUUAGUAGAUCUUUAAAGAGUGAAAUAAAAUAAAAAAUUUCCGUGUGU
This is a long non-coding RNA of Equus caballus (horse), 1778 nucleotides long. Lineage: Eukaryota; Metazoa; Chordata; Mammalia; Perissodactyla; Equidae. The record is from Ensembl.